GCUUUGAAUUCAUGGCCCAGGACUAACGCCAGCAGAUGCUUUACACAUGCAAGUCGAACGGCAGCACGGACUUCGGUCUGGUGUGGCGAGUGGCGAACGGGUGAGUAAUGUACCUGAACGCCCAGGUAGGCAGAUAACUACGCGAAAGCGUAGCUAAUACCGCAUACGCCCUUCGGGGGAAAGCGGGGACCUUCGGGCCUCGCACUAUUAGAGCGGCCGAUAUCGGAUUAGCUAGUUGGUGGGGUAACGGCUCACCAAGGCGACGAUCCGUAGCUGGUUUGAGAGGACGACCAGCCACACUGGGACCGAGACACGGCCCAGACUUUAGCGGAGGCAGCAGUGGGGAAUUCUUGACAAUGGGGAAACCCUGAUCCAGCCAUCCGCAGCACAAAAGGCUCCCGGGUUGUAAAGCACUUUGGCAGGAAAGAACGGCACGGAUAAUACCCCGCGUAACCGACGGUACCUGCAGAAUAAGCACCGGCUAACCAUGCCAGCAGCCGCGGUAGCCGGGCGUAGGUGCAAGCGUUAAUCGGAAUUACUACGGGGCAGCGGCAGCGUGUUCGGAAAAAGAAAGAUGUGAAAUCCCGGAGCCAAUUUUGGAACCGUUUUUGCAAUCACUGAGCGAGAUGUGCCAGAGGGAGGGAAUCAUGUGGCGGCGGUGGUGCUGGGAGUUAUGGAGGAACACUGAUGGCGAAGGCAGCCUCCUGGGAUAACACUGACGUUUCGUGCACGAAAGCGUGGGGAGCAAACAGGAUUAGAUACCCUGGUGUCCACGCCCUAAACGAUGUCAACUAGCUGUUGGGGCCUUCGGGCUCGGUAGCGCAGCUUAACGCGGUGAAGUUGGACCGCCUGGGGAGUACGGUCGCAAGAUUAAAACCGAAGAUAAUUGACGGGGAACGCACGCUGUGUGGACGAUGUGAUUUGGCACCCGAGCGUGCCCGCGAAAACCUUAGCUCACCUUUGACGUCUGGAAUCCCGAAGAGAUUUAUCGUGAGAAAUCCGGAACACAGGUGCUGUGAGCGGAAGCCGUCGCUCACCUGCAAGCCGGAGAUGUUGUUAAGUCCCUGCAACGAGCAAAGAACCUCGGUCAGCGAGUUACGCGAGCGCAGCACCAAUUAGAUUUGCCGGUAAACCCGAUAAAGCGUGGAAGAACAGUCGCCCGCGGCCUGGUGGUGGGGCCAUCAGCGCAAUGUCGGGACAGAGGGUCGCCAACCCGCGAGGGGGAGCUAAUCCCAGAAACCCGAUCGUAGUCCGGAUCGCAGUCUGCAACUCGACUGCGUGAAGUCGGGAACGCCGGGGAACGAUCGUGUUAAUGUCACGGUGAAUACGUUCCUGGUCUUGUACACACCGCCCGUCACACCAUGGGAGUGGGUUUUACUCAGAAGAAGUUAGCCUAACCGUAAGGAGGGCGAUUACCACGGUAGGAUUCAUGACUGGGGAAGUCGUAAAUAAGGUAA
Molecule: ribosomal RNA, 1457 nt
Filed under: uncultured Bordetella sp.
Lineage: Bacteria; Pseudomonadati; Pseudomonadota; Betaproteobacteria; Burkholderiales; Alcaligenaceae
Description: partial 16S-23S ribosomal RNA intergenic spacer
Rfam family: Bacterial small subunit ribosomal RNA
Source: RNAcentral